RNAcentral lists this ribosomal RNA (429 nucleotides) under uncultured bacterium. RNAcentral's name for it is "bacterial LSU rRNA". It matches the Rfam family "Bacterial large subunit ribosomal RNA", at positions 106 to 502 of the family's 2925-position model. The record is from RNAcentral.
GGGAAUCUCCGAAUGGGAAAACCCCCACACGGCAAAACCGUGUGACUCCAGCAAUGGAGAGCGAUACUCAGGGAAUUGAAACAUCUUAGUACCUGAAGGAAAAGAAAGUAAAAACGAUUUCGCUAGUAGCGGCGAGCGAAUGCGAAAUUAGCCUAAACCGAUGUUAUGCCAAGCUUGAGGGCGUUGUGAUAUCGGUGUUGUAGGGCUGGCAGGGGUUCACCUCAAUGAACCUGCAAAGUUACCAAAUUGCCAUGUAAGAGAAGUGUUUGGGAAAACACGCCAUAGCGGGUGAUAGCCCCGUAUCUGAAACAUGUGUGAUCUUUUGAGCCAGUUCCUGAGUACCACGGAGUACGUGAAGUUCCGUGGGAAUCUGCGAAGACCAUUUCGUAAGGCUAAAUACUAGGUAGUGACCGAUAGUGAACAAGUACU